AUUGUUUGGCGAGCCCCGUGAAAUGGUCGUUCGACCCUAAAUGGGGUCCUGACCCAGAGGUUGAGAACCACUGCUCUACUGCAUUUUUUUAAAAAAAAUUCAACUGACCCAGAUGUGUUUGCAUAACACAGAAGCUAAAAACAACCCACCUCAGUUUACCAUAUUAGCCUAUAAUUCCCUCUUUUCAAGUUCAUCCAAAUGAUUACACAUGUUUGGGAGUUUUUGUGUCAUCUAAACUAAAACUGUCAUCAUUUUGGGAUUUUGGAAACCAAAACUUGUAAAUUAUUAUAAACUUUGGGUAAAAACCUUAGGAAGCCCCAAAAGGCUUAUUGGAUUCUAUGGUAAGCCAUAAAUCUGAUUAAUGAAGCCUGUUUGUAGUGGAUAAAAUUGUGACAUAUGCACUAGAACUAGUGUGUUAUGUGAACAUAGGAAUAUUGCUCAGGUUAAGCAAAUGUAAGCUGCAGACUGUUCUUUAGCUUCAGAGAACAAAAGCUAAGAUAGCCGAUUUACAAAUAGAAAAGAAAUAUAAUAAAGUAACUUCUAAUAUAGCCAAUGUGGUCAGAGGUUAAGGUGGACUAGGGGAGACCCAGAUUCUAGUCUACUCUCCACUAUAGAAAUCCACUAGGCAAGUUUGGGAUAACUGGUCUCUUUCAGCCCAACCUCUGGAGCAAAUGGGAGGAGGGACAACUACAUAUGCCACUUUAAGCUUCUGUAUAAAAUGUGAUAUGUAGUUAUUGAAGGACCUGCUGAAAAGUGAAACACCAAAAAGGGAUCAGAAUUUUUUCAUAAAUUGGCAGGCUAUUAGGAGGAAGACAGGGAAGAAAGGUGAGAAUCACAGUUGGGCAUGAACUGCUUGACAGUUAUUCAUAAAAGUAAAGAAGCAGAAACAAAGUAAUGAUGAAAUGUAGAAAUGAAUGAGUGAGUUUCUUGCUGGGAGUCUUCUUUACACUACCUUUUAAGAUAUGAUGAUUGAGUAUAGCAUAUUUGGGCUGCAAAAUUUGGACAGCCAUUGGCUGGUAGUAAAGACUUAAAGCAUUCUGUGGCAUGGCUGCUGUCUCAUGGUCAUCCAAGUUUUUGCAACCCAGCUAUAUUAUGUUUGAAACGGUCCUAUGAAUGUAGGGUGCAAAAUUUUAUAAAACGCAACAAUAAUGGAAGCAAAACAUUUAUAAUGGUAUGUGCAAAUGACCUUGGGAGAUUGGGCAGGAGAUGGGGGAAUGAGGUGCUGUCUAGAGAAUAAUCAGAUAAGAGAGGGAAUAGCCUGCAGAUGUAUAAUGGGGAGAGAAAGAAGCUCAGAAAUAAACUUCUCCAACUAAUCAGGCUGUAAAAGAGAUGGUGGGAGAUUUUACUAUCAGACAUGGAAGACUGUGUUCAUGUAGCCUUACAAUAAAAUAGAAUUAGCUCAUAUGAUCAUUUUUUUCUUCUCUGUUCCACCUAGGAAUGCUGGUAACAAUAAUAAUAAUAAUAAAGCAAUAAAGCAGUUAGAAUGACUACCAAUAAACCAAUAAAAGAUACACUUGAAGGCAGGAGCAAUCUUGGAUGAUUUUCUGGAAAGAUGGGGGGGGGGGGAAGAUUUAUGACAGAAUCUCAGAAUAUAAGGGUUGAAGGUAUCCUGGAGAUCAUCUGGUCCAACCUCCUUUCCAGUGCAGGUACUGAAGCAUCCCUGACAGAUGGCCAUUUAGUCUUUGUUUAAAUACUUCCAGGAAAGUCCACCACUUCCUGGGGCAGUAUGUUACAUUAUUGAACAAUUCUAACUUUUAAGACACUUGUUUUUGUACAACCAAAAUCUACUUCCUUAUAAUUUAAAUCCACUGUUUCUUUUCCUGUCUUCCUGUCUUCUGUUCCUUUCAGGCAUUUGAAGAUAAUAAUUAUAUUCCAUAUAGUUGUUUAUUCUUUAGGCUAAAUAAAUCAAUACCUCUAAUAGUCCUCUAAUAUUCCUUCUAAGCCACUUAUCAUUUUGGUUCUUCUCUUUUGGACAAAUUUCAGCUUGUGUUCCUUAUUCGAGAUCUCUACACCUGUAUCCUUGUCUGAUUUCUAGUAUUUAGGCUAUUUUAUAGCAUCUUUUCUACCUUUUCCACAGGAUUCAAUUUAAAGUCCUAUAAAUCAGAUUGGCCAGGCCCCUCUCAAAUAUUGUCUUCCUUGUGCAUUUGGCACCCUCCACAUAUCCCAUUGUUCAUUUCCAAUAUACUUCUCUCUCUCUCUUUUCUCUUUUUCCCAUUCUUUCAAGUCAACUCCAGCUGUGUCCCUAAUAACUUCAUCCUCCUGGCCUGUGGUUUGUCACCCCUUCCAGUAUCUCUACUCUUUUCUGUGUGGCUGUUCCCACAUGGACCAGAAGACAGAAUAUUUGUCAACAGGUUGAUGAGCCUUGUGAAUCUUUCUGUUACCCCCCCCCCCACCAAAUACCCUAGGAACAUAAUUCUCUUGAUAGGCUGCCUGGAUGACUGAUUUCUGCUUCAGUCUCUCUCAGUAGGGAGUCUUCAAUCACUGCACUCCCUUGUUUCCUUCUCUUCAGAGCAGAGGUCUUUCUCUUUAUAGAUCUUGUAGAGCCUCUUCUCCAGGCCUGGAUUCCAGAAACAUUAUAAUCACUGAAGUCCUGGACUAUUCUAUAACAGCUAAGGUUCUUCUCAUGUUAUUUACAUGGAGACACAAUGCUCAUCUGUCUUUGAUAUUCUGUGCCAUAAUUCUUCUCUCCUUUGCUGAUACUUCUGAGUUUUUCUCAGUUUCCUGGCAUAAAAAAGGGCUGUAUCCUGAGUCCGCUACUGUUCACCUUGAUGAUCCAAGACCUCUGUGCCAAAUCUGCUACGAAUCAUAUUGUGAUGAUGAUGAUGAUGAUGAUGAUGAUGACACGGCAGUGGUGGAUCUUAUCCAGGAUGAGAAUGAAGAUGCUUAUAGGAAAGAUUGUAAUGUAUUUCCCUGAUUACUAAGAAUUUAUUUUUCUCCAUCUGUCACUUGCAUGGGCAGUGCUAUUGUAAAGUGCAAUGACAUGUAUUAUAACAUACUAUUUAUAGAAAGAUAUUUCAUUCAAUGCUAUUAUUUAAUAAAAUUGACAAACAGGAAGCCUGAUUUACUAGACACUAAAGUGUAUAGACCUAUUAAAUUAGCAGUAAAAGGAACCUGAUGUUAAAAGUAUAAAUUAUUAAGGUUAUCUGUCAAAGGGUAUAUCCUGACUUUGUGCCCAAAAUCUUGACAAAUAUUCCAUGAAGAAUUAAAUUCCUCGAGCUCAUUAUGCCAAAUAUGUGAAAUAGAAAACUGGAAACAUUUUCAGCACAAAAAUGUAAAUGUUCUUCCGCAGUUAUGAACACAUGGACUUUUAUUUUUCUAUGGGCACUGCACAAAAAGUACCAUAUAAUUAUUUCAAGUUAUUUUGAAAAAAAGCAGAUCUAUCUGGUCCACUGUAUCAGAGCUAGCAGGAGACCCCUGUGUGAAGUGAACACUGCUGCUGCCAUUAUCACUACUGAGAAAAUGAUGAUCGUGAUUAUAUUCCCAUGUGGUAUUUCUCUAAACAAUGUCAUAGUUACCUCAAGAAAUAUUUCAAAAUAUGGUAUGCUGACUUUAAGUAUUAGCCAAGUUAAUCCUCUGAAACACUUGUUGAGUGAAGGGUAUAUUUUAAAAUGGUCUAUUGAAACAUUUAAAAUUAGAAUCCUUCACCAAGGUAAGAGUUUUCUAGAUAAGUCUGAUAAAAUGCUAUCAAACUGAAAAGUGGAGGAUUUAAAGAAGAGGAAAGAAAGCAAUGACAAGUAUAUGCAUGGACCAGGCAAUUUAAUCUCUAUAGGCCUGAUAUCUCAUUUGUUGCACAUUAAUAAAAUGAGGUUCUAAGAAUUAGUUUCAUAUAUGCAUGUAUGUUUGUAUGUAUGUAUGUAUGCAUAUGUGUAUGUUUAUGUAUACAUAAAGAAACUAAAAUAAAAUGCCCUAUAACUAAAAUAUAUUAAGAUUUUAAGGUCAAAGAUUUUUCUGGAAAAGAUAUCAUUUGCAAAUUCAAACUAAAUACCAAAAAUGUGUAAGCAACUCCAGUAGAAUCUGAUCUACUACAUAUAAAUAGAAUUAAUAAUUUUUAGAUGUUUAAUGUUUAUAGUAGAGAAAAUGAAUGCAUAUGUGUCUAAUUUGCUAUGAUGAAAAUACCAGCACUUUGUUCUAGACAAAUGAUGUAAUUGCACUUGAGUUCUUAUACAUUGUGUUAAUAUUGAAAAUAAUCCCCUGGAGAGAGAGAUAAAUGGAGUGAUCUUGAUGGUGAGAUAUGUACAUCUGUUUAUAAAAUAUUAAUGACUAUUGUAAAGGAUAAAAAAAAAGUUGUGUGCAUCUAAUAUGGGGUGGAAAAUAGGGAUCCGCAUUCAUUGAUAAGGAUUUCUUUUCCAUAAACUGAAUGUCAUGUAUGUGAGACUGAAUUAUUAGACAAUUGCUAAUAUGAUACUUAUAUGAAUUUAAUCUUUUUUGUUUCUUUCUAUUCUUCCUAUUAUUAAUGGGAAACUAUUGAACAAUUAGCCAAUGGAACAGCUUGCUGAAGUUGUGGGUGGUUCAUUGUGGAGGUUUUUAAGAAAAGAUUGGAUAACCAUUGGUUUGGGAUGGAAUAAGGACUCCUGUCUGGGCAGCAGCUUGAACUACAACACCUUCAAAGACCCUUCCAGCUCUAUGAUUGGAUGAUUCCAUUAUAACAUUUCUAUAAUGAAACACUGAUUGUGGAAUUCCAACACUGCUAUUUUAUUAAUAAUAUUUUAUUAUUAACAAUGAAAUACUCAUGAAUAUUAAUACUCAUUAAUAUUUAUAUUAAAUUUAUCAGAAUUAAAACAAAUGUAUACCCUUAUUUCUUACAAUUGCUUUUUUCUAGUAUGCUUGCAUCUAUUACAAACAAUACAAAUGAACCAGCUGAACUGAAUGUUACAAGAGACUAAGGAUGCCUGAAUUUUAAUAGUAAAUUAGUGAUAGCAAAGAAGUAACGGGCAAACAUAUUACCAUUUCACUAAAUGGGAAGCUAAUUAUGAAAAGGCUGCCUGCUGAAUUAGCAUACUUAGGAAGUCCAUCAAGUAAACUGGUGUAUCAGUAUCUGGUGUAAUAAAUAAGAACAAAAUGUAUAGUUUAGAUGAAAGAGGAUAUAAAGAGGUGGAUAAAAAUAGUUUAAGGUUUUCAGGGAAGAAUUUAAUGUUGGUUAAUUAAUUGGUUCUGUCAGUGGGCCUGAGAACCCAACUGGUAUGAAUUUAUUUGCUGCUGCCAUGGAGUUAGAGUUUUAUGUUGUGAAUUUUUAAUGUUGCAAGCUGCCCAGAGUCACUGUGUGUGAAUUGGAUGAUCAUAUAAAUUUGUUUAAGAAAUAAAUAAUAAAAAUGAAGUGAAAAUGAAGUUUUUAUCAAGACUGAG
Molecule: long non-coding RNA, 5343 nt
Organism: Crotalus tigris (Tiger rattlesnake)
Lineage: Eukaryota; Metazoa; Chordata; Lepidosauria; Squamata; Viperidae
Exons: 3
Source: RefSeq, a predicted model, not a curated record